AAUAGAUACCCGGGUAGUCCACGCCGUAAACGAUGAAUGCUAGGUGUUAGGGGUUUCGAUACCCUUGGUGCCGAAGUUAACACAUUAAGCAUUCCGCCUGGGGAGUACGGUCGCAAGACUGAAACUCAAAGGAAUUGACGGGGACCCGCACAAGCAGUGGAGUAUGUGGUUUAAUUCGAAGCAACGCGAAGAACCUUACCAGGUCUUGACAUCUGAAUGACCGGUGUAGAGAUACACCUUUCCUUCGGGACAUUCAAGACAGGUGGUGCAUGGUUGUCGUCAGCUCGUGUCGUGAGAUGUUGGGUUAAGUCCCGCAACGAGCGCAACCCUUGAUCUUAGUUGCCAGCAAUUCGGUUGGGCACUCUAAGGUGACUGCCGGUGACAAACCGGAGGAAGGUGGGGAUGACGUCAAAUCAUCAUGCCCCUUAUGACCUGGGCUACACACGUACUACAAUGGCUGGUACAACGGGAAGCGAAGUCGCGAGAUGGAGCGAAUCCUAUAAAAGCCAGUCUCAGUUCGGAUUGCAGG
Molecule: ribosomal RNA, 529 nt
Filed under: uncultured bacterium
Lineage: Bacteria
Description: bacterial SSU rRNA
Rfam family: Bacterial small subunit ribosomal RNA
Source: RNAcentral